GAAGAGAACUGGAAAGUUCCACCGUAGAAGGUAAUAGUCCUGUAAGUGAAACGAGAAGACCACGAGUUAUGAUCCAGAGUACCACGAGACACGUGAAACCUUGUGGGAAGCAGGGAGGACCACCUCCCAAGGCUAAAUACUACCUGAUGACCGAUAGUGAAGCAGUACCGUGAGGGAAAGGUGAAAAGAACCCCGGGAGGGGAGUGAAAUAGAACCUGAAACCGUGUGCCUACAACCGCUCAGAGCCCCUUAUGAGGGUGAUGAGGUGCUUUUUGUAGAACGAGCCAACGAGUUACGGUAUGUAGCAAGGUUAAGUACUUAAGGUACGGAGCCGAAGGGAAACCGAGUCUGAAUAGGGCGACUAGUUGCAUGCCGUAGACCCGAAACCGGGUGACCUAUCCAUGGCCAGGUUGAAGCGAGGGUAAAACCUCGUGGAGGACCGAACCACGUUGCUGUUGAAAAAGCAUGGGAUGAGCUGUGGAUAGCGGAGAAAUUCCAAUCGAACCCGGAGAUAGCUGGUUCUCUCCGAAAUAGCUUUAGGGCUAGCGUCGAGUAUGAGUAGUGGAGGUAGAGCACUGAAUGGGCUAGGGGGCAUAGCGCUUACCGAACCUUAUCAAACUCCGAAUGCCACAUACUUUGAGCUCGGCAGUCAGACUACGAAUGAUAAGAUCCGUGGUCAAAAGGGAAACAGCCCAGAUCGUCAGCUAAGGUCCCAAAGUGUAAGUUAAGUGGGAAAGGAUGUGAGAUUUCUAAGACAACUAGGAUGUUGGCUUAGAAGCAGCCAUUCAUUAAAAGAGUGCGUAAUAGCUCACUAGUCGAGAGAUCUUGCGCCGAAAAUGUAACGGGGCUAAACUUACCACCGAAGCUACGGGCUUGAACUAAGUUCAAGCGGUAGGAGAGCGUCGUAACCGGGCUGAAGUCGUACCGUAAGGAGCGGUGGACUGGUUACGAGUGAGAAUGUUGGCAUCAGUAGCGAGAUGUGGGUGAGAAUCCCACAGGCCGAAAACCUAAGGUUUCCUCAGGAAGGUUCGUCCGCUGAGGGUUAGUCGGGACCUAAGCCGAGGCCGAAAGGCGUAGGUGAUGGACAACUGGUUGAUAUUCCAGUACCACUACCAUCGUUAUUAUCGAUGGCGUGACGCAGGAGGAUAGUGUGUGCUAGCUAUUGGAUGCUAGUCUAAGCGUUUAGGCAGUGAGAGUAGGCAAAUCCGCUCUCAUAAUGCU
RNAcentral lists this ribosomal RNA (1221 nucleotides) under Clostridium perfringens. RNAcentral describes it as "partial 23S ribosomal RNA". It matches the Rfam family "Bacterial large subunit ribosomal RNA", at positions 335 to 1557 of the family's 2925-position model. Lineage: Bacteria; Bacillati; Bacillota; Clostridia; Eubacteriales; Clostridiaceae. The record is from RNAcentral.